Molecule: ribosomal RNA, 2208 nt
Filed under: Escherichia coli
Lineage: Bacteria; Pseudomonadati; Pseudomonadota; Gammaproteobacteria; Enterobacterales; Enterobacteriaceae
Description: partial 23S ribosomal RNA
Rfam family: Bacterial large subunit ribosomal RNA
Source: RNAcentral
CGGGACACGUGGUAUCCUGUCUGAAUAUGGGGGGACCAUCCUCCAAGGCUAAAUACUCCUGACUGACCGAUAGUGAACCAGUACCGUGAGGGAAAGGCGAAAAGAACCCCGGCGAGGGGAGUGAAAAAGAACCUGAAACCGUGUACGUACAAGCAGUGGGAGCACGCUUAGGCGUGUGACUGCGUACCUUUUGUAUAAUGGGUCAGCGACUUAUAUUCUGUAGCAAGGUUAACCGAAUAGGGGAGCCGAAGGGAAACCGAGUCUUAACUGGGCGUUAAGUUGCAGGGUAUAGACCCGAAACCCGGUGAUCUAGCCAUGGGCAGGUUGAAGGUUGGGUAACACUAACUGGAGGACCGAACCGACUAAUGUUGAAAAAUUAGCGGAUGACUUGUGGCUGGGGGUGAAAGGCCAAUCAAACCGGGAGAUAGCUGGUUCUCCCCGAAAGCUAUUUAGGUAGCGCCUCGUGAAUUCAUCUCCGGGGGUAGAGCACUGUUUCGGCAAGGGGGUCAUCCCGACUUACCAACCCGAUGCAAACUGCGAAUACCGGAGAAUGUUAUCACGGGAGACACACGGCGGGUGCUAACGUCCGUCGUGAAGAGGGAAACAACCCAGACCGCCAGCUAAGGUCCCAAAGUCAUGGUUAAGUGGGAAACGAUGUGGGAAGGCCCAGACAGCCAGGAUGUUGGCUUAGAAGCAGCCAUCAUUUAAAGAAAGCGUAAUAGCUCACUGGUCGAGUCGGCCUGCGCGGAAGAUGUAACGGGGCUAAACCAUGCACCGAAGCUGCGGCAGCGACGCUGAUGCGUUGUUGGGUAGGGGAGCGUUCUGUAAGCCUGUGAAGGUGUGCUGUGAGGCAUGCUGGAGGUAUCAGAAGUGCGAAUGCUGACAUAAGUAACGAUAAAGCGGGUGAAAAGCCCGCUCGCCGGAAGACCAAGGGUUCCUGUCCAACGUUAAUCGGGGCAGGGUGAGUCGACCCCUAAGGCGAGGCCGAAAGGCGUAGUCGAUGGGAAACAGGUUAAUAUUCCUGUACUUGGUGUUACUGCGAAGGGGGGACGGAGAAGGCUAUGUUGGCCGGGCGACGGUUGUCCCGGUUUAAGCGUGUAGGCUGGUUUUCCAGGCAAAUCCGGAAAAUCAAGGCUGAGGCGUGAUGACGAGGCACUACGGUGCUGAAGCAACAAAUGCCCUGCUUCCAGGAAAAGCCUCUAAGCAUCAGGUAACAUCAAAUCGUACCCCAAACCGACACAGGUGGUCAGGUAGAGAAUACCAAGGCGCUUGAGAGAACUCGGGUGAAGGAACUAGGCAAAAUGGUGCCGUAACUUCGGGAGAAGGCACGCUGAUAUGUAGGUGAAGCGACUUGCUCGUGGAGCUGAAAUCAGUCGAAGAUACCAGCUGGCUGCAACUGUUUAUUAAAAACACAGCACUGUGCAAACACGAAAGUGGACGUAUACGGUGUGACGCCUGCCCGGUGCCGGAAGGUUAAUUGAUGGGGUCAGCGCAAGCGAAGCUCUUGAUCGAAGCCCCGGUAAACGGCGGCCGUAACUAUAACGGUCCUAAGGUAGCGAAAUUCCUUGUCGGGUAAGUUCCGACCUGCACGAAUGGCGUAAUGAUGGCCAGGCUGUCUCCACCCGAGACUCAGUGAAAUUGAACUCGCUGUGAAGAUGCAGUGUACCCGCGGCAAGACGGAAAGACCCCGUGAACCUUUACUAUAGCUUGACACUGAACAUUGAGCCUUGAUGUGUAGGAUAGGUGGGAGGCUUUGAAGUGUGGACGCCAGUCUGCAUGGAGCCGGCCUUGAAAUACCACCCUUUAAUGUUUGAUGUUCUAACGUUGACCCGUGAUCCGGGUUGCGGACAGUGUCUGGUGGGUAGUUUGACUGGGGCGGUCUCCUCCUAAAGAGUAACGGAGGAGCACGAAGGUUGGCUAAUCCUGGUCGGACAUCAGGAGGUUAGUGCAAUGGCAUAAGCCAGCUUGACUGCGAGCGUGACGGCGCGAGCAGGUGCGAAAGCAGGUCAUAGUGAUCCGGUGGUUCUGAAUGGAAGGGCCAUCGCUCAACGGAUAAAAGGUACUCCGGGGAUAACAGGCUGAUACCGCCCAAGAGUUCAUAUCGACGGCGGUGUUUGGCACCUCGAUGUCGGCUCAUCACAUCCUGGGGCUGAAGUAGGUCCCAAGGGUAUGGCUGUUCGCCAUUUAAAGUGGUACGCGAGCUGGGUU